Chroicocephalus ridibundus (black-headed gull) is the source of this 907-nucleotide long non-coding RNA. RefSeq lists it as uncharacterized. The transcript is spliced from 6 exons. The record is from RefSeq and is a predicted model, not a curated record. Lineage: Eukaryota; Metazoa; Chordata; Aves; Charadriiformes; Laridae.
CUCCUGUAUGCCACUAAGAAAGAUAAGGUAUUAAAUAGCCAGUAAAUUCUGCUAUACAAAAAGUGAUUUCCAUGAAAAUUGAGAAGAGGAAACCCAGGGAAUACUUAGGAAGAAAUUAUAGCACGGGAGAGCAAAUUUAUAACCAAACCAGGUGACUCGAACUCGGACAGUACUCUUGAAUAAAAAAGGAUAAAUGAAGUCACUGAGGCUAAAUGAUCCCUUUUUGGAGACUGGUUUGUGCUGCCUGCAAACUGUGUUUGAAUGCCUUACCAGCAGCUUCUGUUUCCUUUUUUCUUGGCAGGAUGAGAUGACUGUCCGUGCGAUGGAGCUCUAGCACCUUAGCAUGCCUGCUCUUUGCUGACUCCAUGAGGAAGAGUUCUGAGAGUCCUCUCGUGUUCCUUUUGCAACCUUUCACAACAAUGACCAAUUCCAGCAGGUCUGAUGAGAAACAUUUGUGGCUCUGAUACCCAUUCCCUGUCACUCAAGGCAAGAAGAUACUACACAAGUGAUCCAGUGCGGUCCUCCAGAACACGUAGAAGAAUUGCAUUGAAACAGUCACUUGUUUAGCUUAAGCCGCCUAUAGACAAAACACCAGGCUGUAGUAACGACACUCGAAGAGGUAAGAAGGCUCUAUCUGUGCUUUGAAGAACCUGAAUAGAUGUCAGUGCUUCUCUGACACCCAUUAACUUGGGAUUCCUCCUCGCUGCUUUUAACAUACCUUCUGGGGCUAUCUGCUCUUACCAACGAUUAUGUUCGGUACUUUAAAAGGGUUGAACCUCUUCAGAAAUAAUGCUGAAAUCUUAACCUCUAGUGUCCCAGCAUUUCUAGAUCUUUCAUAUGAAAAAUACAGUAAUGUAGUAAAGGCUGCAUGAGAAAACAUGAGAAAGGAAUUAGUUAUCCAGACAUU